UAAUAAUAAAGGAGGUUACUCACUGUCAUGCAUACACAUUUACGAAUUUAUCUUUUAAAAUUUUAAAUUCUGCAAGUUAGUAUACAAUAUGUUAAAAUUUCCAAGUUGCCCCUUGUAUAAUCCAUUAUCUAUACGCACAAAUGAAAUAACAAAGCUUCAUAAAUUCUUUUUGUAUUCACAUAUUGGCAAGCUCAUUAGCUAAAAAUGAAAUUUUUGAUAAACAUUCUAAGAAACAAGAAUUUCAACUAGGUUCUUGGCACCUAACAUUCACCAAUCAACUACUUUAUGACGAAUUGAAGGUAUUGCGUAAUGUGUUUUACUUAAAUUUAUAAUUGUGAGCAUGAGAUAUACAUUCUUAUAUUUAAUUUGAGAAAUGUUCGGAAUGAAAUGAAAUGUUAUAAUCUAGUAUGAAUUGUAGCAUGCUGUUAAAUAUAUUUGCUUCCAUUUAUGAAAUAUUUUCUCGCAUACUUUUAAUCAACUUUUGAUAGAAGUAUAAUAUUUUAUGCUAUCUUUAUAAUGAAUCAUGCAACCAUAAAAGGCAAUGUGUUAUCACUAAUAAAAUAUUAAGCAUAAUUGGAUUUGGCUUGUAUGUGAGAGUCAUGGCUAGAACUAGAGAGAUUGCUAAAAAGACAACGGCUUGUAGGACUGUUCUAAACUAUAGGAUAGUAGUUAUCGAAGCCUAUGAGAAUUACGAGGCAGACCAGACUCACACCCUUAUUGAGCAUGCAGAGGAAGUCUUCACUAGGCGGGUUGUGGCAAGGGAUGUAGGACAUGAGAUUACACUCCUUCAAGUUGUUAACAAUUUUAUUCAUACACUGCCCCCUCAAUGGGGUAGACGUGGACAUUGUUGUUAGAGACGAAAUGCUAGAGGGUAACCCUCUAGAGCACUCGAAAAGGAUCGAGUUCGAGCUGUACUGUGAAACUUUUCUAGAUAGGCGGAUUUCUACUCUUGAGACCGAACCCUAGCCAGAGGAAGACCGUGGUGAAGAUCCAGAAGAGAAGUCGAAUUAUGAACCUAAUUCAGAGCCAGAGAACGAGUCGGAGCAUGUAUCAAGACCAGAGCAAGAACUAGAACCGAACCAGGAGCAGGGUUCGAACUAGACCUUGAGCUAGGAGUUGACCAGGAAUUUGAGCCGGAGUCAUGUAUAUCUUUGGAUGAUGAAGCCCCUCCAUCUAAGCUUUGUAGGAUUCAAAAUGUUUGGACAAGCUAAAAUGAAGACUAGCAACCUAGAGAUAGUCUCGUUUAGAUAACUAAUUUCUUCCCCUUUAAAAAAAUGUAAUCAGUACUUGAACUAGUCAAUAGGUUUUUCUUCUUUCAAUCAUUCCUAAUGUAUUCUAGGAUUUUAAAAUUUUAUGAAAUUGAGUUCUUCAUUCGAAUAUAUUGAGCUGUGUUGACUAUUUCUAAAACGAAUUUUAUUUGGUUGAUUUAAAAGAAAUGACACAUCAACCAACACAAGCUCUAUGUUUAUGGAUUUGUUAAGAGCUGUGCAAGAUCUUGGUAGACAGCAAACACAAUCACCUUCUCAAAAUCCAC
This 1534-nucleotide long non-coding RNA is filed under the name Olea europaea subsp. europaea. The record is from RNAcentral. Lineage: Eukaryota; Viridiplantae; Streptophyta; Magnoliopsida; Lamiales; Oleaceae.